UACGAAGGGUGCAAGCGUUAAUCGGAAUUAUUGGGCGUAAAGGGUGCGUAGGCGGUCUGUUAAGUUGGAUGUGAAAGCCCCGGGCUCAACCUGGGAAUGGCAUCCAAAACUGGCAGGAUGGAGUGCGGUAGAGGAUGGUGGAAUUCCCGGUGUAGCGGUGAAAUGCGUAGAGAUCGGGAGGAACAUCGAUGGCGAAGGCAGCCAUCUGGACCAGCACUGACGCUGAGGCACGAAAGCGUGGGGAGCAAACAGGAUUAGAUA
RNAcentral lists this ribosomal RNA (261 nucleotides) under uncultured prokaryote. RNAcentral's name for it is "partial 16S ribosomal RNA". It matches the Rfam family "Bacterial small subunit ribosomal RNA", at positions 524 to 784 of the family's 1533-position model. The record is from RNAcentral.